Molecule: ribosomal RNA, 253 nt
Filed under: uncultured bacterium
Lineage: Bacteria
Description: partial 16S ribosomal RNA
Rfam family: Bacterial small subunit ribosomal RNA
Source: RNAcentral
UACGUAGGGGGCAAGCGUUGUCCGGAAUCAUUGGGCGUAAAGCGCGUGUAGGCGGCCCGGUAAGUCCGCUGUAAAAGUCCAGGGCUCAACCCUGGAAAGCCGGUGGAUACUGUCGGGCUCGAGUCCGGAAGAGGCGAGUGGAAUUCCUGGUGUAGCGGUGAAAUGCGCAGAUAUCGGGAGGAACACCGGUGGCGAAGGCGGUUCUCUGGGCCUGUACUGACGCUGAGGAGCGAAAGCGUGGGGAGCGAACAGG